RNAcentral lists this long non-coding RNA (5089 nucleotides) under Lactuca sativa (garden lettuce). RNAcentral's name for it is "long non-coding RNA (LSAT_LNC006219)". The record is from RNAcentral. Lineage: Eukaryota; Viridiplantae; Streptophyta; Magnoliopsida; Asterales; Asteraceae.
CUAUCUUAAAUUCUCAUCUCGGUACACCGAACGUCUGCUUGGGUGUACAAAACAAGAGGAAGAUGACAACCUGAGCCUAAGAAGGUGAUGGGUCAUACAUCGGUCGUGAGAUAAUACUUGGGACAAGUAUGAGUAGGUGUGAAAGGUAGUAGAUGCAUAUACUACUGGAAGCACAGGACUCACGCUUGGAUCAGGGAAAGUCACAAGGUUACCAAGAAGCUAGUAAAUGAUUUCGUUUUAUUCAAGCAUGUCGUUACCAUCGUUUCGGUAAUGACUAAGAAGAUUGUUGUUAUUCCGACCCUAGUGGUCAUAUCAAAUUGAGUCCGACUACGAUAAGUAUGUUAAAUAGUUCAGAUAACCAAGUCCAAUGUAGCAUCUGACUUAAGCUAAAAGCUUGAAGUAAAAGACAAAUCAAAGCGAUCAGUAGAGGUAUUGCGAUAGUUGCUUGGAGCUAGAAAGGAUACAUUUUAAGAUGUGAUUAGAACAUGAAGGAAGGUAUAGCCUGUUCUGGAAGAAUCUAAAAGACCUAAGUCUAAGUGUUGCAACAUACGAUGAUAGGUCAUUAGAAUAUGACACAUCGAUGCAUGAUAAUAAUAAAAGAACUUAUCUUAAGUUCGUAUCCAGUAAAGAUCGAGAUCGUGACAUCCAGAUCAUGACUGAAAGUCUAACGUGAGAUAGAGAGCGGGUCCAAGAUCGGGCACCGCCUGUGGUCUGGAAGUCUUAGAGUUAGAUACUCGUUCGAAGAAACAUCAAAGUUACGGUAAUUACUUAGGACGAAGAGAUAGCGUAUGAAUUCAUCAUGCGAGCCCUGUUUCAUUGAUGAUUCCGGGACAUAAUCAUCCUAAGGGGAGAUAAUUGUAACGUCCGUAGAUCCGGGCUAGUCAAUUUAGUGGUAAUAGGGGUCGAAAAUGAUUUUUCGAAAAAAUAUUAUUCAGAAUACAUAAUAUUAACCAAGUUGUAGAAUAUGUCACAAGGUUUCCGUACAUAUAAAGAGCGUCGAAAUCCGAGUUAUANNNNUAUAAAGAGCCAAAAUCCGAGUUAUAACGAAGAAGUUAUGACCCGUCGAAGUUUCGCGACGGAACCGACACGGCACCGAAAAACGUAAAUAGUGAAAGUUACGAUAGAGUGACAUUUAGCCUUAGCAAUCUAAACGAAAGUCAUAGAAUACGAUAACCAAAAGCGUCCAUAAAAAGAACGCCCAAAUCUGACUUCGUAUGAGGAAGUUAUGAAUUUUCUAAGAUUUGGCUUAAUAGUGCACGGGCCGAAACUUGAUUUUUAGUUCGAGCGGUUUUUGGCUUACGCGACCUAAAUGAGAGUUGAAGAUCUCAUUAAUAGGAACUCAACGGUAAAAAGAUAGACGAAAACGGAUUCCGUAUGAAGGAGUUACGGAUUCUUCGCGAUCAUUUAGCAGUCUAAACUCCUCCUAUUAUUAAAUUUGAGAUCGGUCGAGAAUUAGCCAACGUAGUCCAAAUAAAAGUUGUAGAUCUUGAAGGCUGAUACGCGAUAGGAGGUGACGUGGCACCACCAGAAUUGGACACGUGGCACUUCUAGAAGGCUGCCAUAUGCCCCAACUCGGUGAGUAGGUCCUCCUACUCGGCGAGUCCAUCGGUCAGCACCCCUAUAAAUAGAGGUGUCGGGUUCCUUCACUUCCUCACACCUUCAAACCCUUCUUUCUCUCUCUAAAGCCCCAANGCUCCCUAACCCCCCUAAAAGCCUAGGUAAACCCCCUAGCACCCGAAGGAAGCCCCGAGGCUCCCGGAGUCCCGAUAAAAGAGCCUUUCGGCUCGGGAACACUGCUCCAGCGAAGCCCGGUUUUUGCGAAAAACCCGCCGUAAGUGAGCUACGCCUACACUAUUUUGAAUAUAGGAUCUAAUUAAUUAUAGUAACAUUAUUAGGACCUUAAAAUAAUUAUUUGGGCUAUUAUUAUGAGUUAUAUUGAGUGUUAUUUAACGCUUAUAUAAUAGUAAUAAUAGAUAGACUAUUAAUUAGUCGUGGUGAACGUUAGACUAAACUCUAGUGGUAAUGAUACUAGGUUUCGUCAAGGGAUAAUUAUUUUAAGACUAACGAAGUGCAGUCCGAGUGCCGAAUGACCACCUUACCAGGUGAGUGCAUAGUCCCUUUCUUUAACAUGAUAAUUUUAUACAAGUAAUUAUUGAAGUAUUAAUUAUAUGUUUAUGUGUGAGUUAAUUGAUGUUCCCUGAAAUACGUGUUAAAGAACAUACCUGAUUAUAUAUAUGAUAAUUUAGGAUAAAGAGUAUACCUAAAUUAAUUAUGAGGAAUAUUGGGUAGUAUUUUCUUACGAGUACAAGUGAGUUAUACUCAGAGAAUAGAACUUUAGUAUAUGUCAUUUAUCCGAGAGCAUGGAUUAGACAUAGUCAUUGUCCCUAGUCCGAGAGUAUGGAUUGGACAUAGUCAACUAUCAUUAAUCUGGAGGCAUGGAUUAAAACAUAGUAAGUUGUCCUUAGUCCGAGAGUAUGGAUUAAUACAUAGUCAUUCGUCCCUAGUCCGAGAGUAUGGAUUAGGCAUAAUCAUUCGUUAUUAAUCCGAGAGUAUGGAUUAGUCAUUUGACCCUAGUCCGAGAGUAUGGAUUAGGCAUAAUCAAUCGUCAUUAAUCCGAGUGUAUGGAUUAGUCAUUCGUUCCUAGUCCGAGAGUAUGGAUUAGGCAUAAUCAUUCGUCAUUAAUCCGAAAGUAUGGAUUAGUCAUUCGUCCCUAGUCCGAGAGUAUGGAUUAGGCAUAAUCAUUCGUCAUUAAUCCGAAAGUAUGGAUUAGUCAUUCGUCCCUAGUCCGAGAGUAUGGAUUAGGUAAAACGUUUAAUCUUAGGUUUGAGAGUAUGGAUAGUCUCGUUGUGAGGAUCGACGGGGUGGGAUAAGAGUUGCUUACACAUAUAUGGUGAAAUUGUAUGUUUUUUGAGUUCUAAAUUAUAUAUAUGAUAUAACAUUGUAGGAUUGAAAUCUCUAUGUACUCACCAGGUUUCCCAACCUGACCCACUCAUUUUUUUUAUAUCACAGGUGUCGAUAUGAAGUGGCAUUACACUGAGAGAUUAAGGAGAUAUAGAUCACUAGUGUAAAUGAAUGUAAGUUCUGUUUAUACUUAUGUUUCUAUAUUGACAAUAACAUCCCAAACGUUUUAAAAUGAAUAAAAUACGUUUCUUCGAAAAUGUUUUGAUAACGUAUUUAUCGUGUUUUCUGGGAACAAAUUCCGCAGCAUUUUUAUGAAAAGAAGUACUCUGAUUUUUAACAAAGCAUAAACAAAAUCGGUCUUUUUUGGCCGUGGAAAAUGGGGAUGUCACUUUUGGUAUCAGAGCAUUAGUUUAAGCGAACUACGGAUAUGGAUUUAUUUCUAGACUUAAAAUUAGAAUGAUAAGCAAUGAUUGUGAGGAGUGUGUCUGAUAGAUUUAGGUAAUACACUCGAAUAGACAUAAGCACUAGCUUAUUUUAGGAAUGAUGCCUAAAUUGCUUUUACGUGCUAAAUGAUUUGUUAUGAUUUAUGCUAUAGUUUGAUCAGAUCUAUGGUAUGUUGUUGACCGGAUCUGGAAACCUUAUGUGUUUAGGAUUUUAAGCGUAUGAUUACGAUAUUAGAACUAGCAUGUAACAUUUCAGAGUAAUAAGGAGAUUUAUACGUCUAUAAUAAAUAAGAUCUUUCCUAUCUUAAAUUCUCGUCUCGGUACACCGAACGUCUGCUUGGGUGUACAAAACAAGAGGAAGAUGACAACCUGAGCCUAAGAAUGUGAUGGGUCAUACAUCGGUCGUUGCGCCUGCACCCGAACCUAUCACAAAGGCAGAAGUUCAGGAAGUGAUGCGAACCAUGAUAAACUGAGAAAAUAGAGGAAAAGAGACGACUUACGAUACUGAAUAAUACCUAUCAGAAGAUAUAAUAAGAGAGGUAUCUUGCCUUUAGAAUACGUCUGAUAAAAUAGCAGUACGUCUAUAGAAGUAGGGUACAUCUGAAUGUACACAUUUGAUUGGCGGGAUGAUAGAACGAUUGAUGUAAUUCGUAAAGUUUUCCUAUCAUCUGGAAUGUCCAUCACCAACCGAAUUGAAGCAGAAUUGACGAUUGAAGAUAUGCAUGGAAGAAGUCCUAGUAGAGUCUAGGGCAAUUUUUAUGAAUAUUUGGACACACUCGUAUGCGUUAAAUUGUUUCAUGAUUUUAGGACUUGGGUACUGUGAGACAAUACUCGGGACAAGUAUGAGUAGGUGUGAAAGGUAGUAGAUGCAUAUAAUACCGGAAGCACAGGACUCACGCUUGGAUCAGGGAAAGUCACAAGGUUACCAAGAAUCUAGUAAAUGAUUUUAUUUUAUUCAAGCAUGUCGUUACCAUCGUUUCGGUAAUGACUAAGAAGAUUGUUGUUAUUCCGACCCUAGUGUUCAUAUCAAAUUGAGUCCAACUACGAUAAGUAUGUUAAAUAGUUUAGAGAACCAAGUCCGAUGUAGCAUCUGACUUAAGAUAAAAGCUUGAAGUAAAAGACAAAUCAAAGCGAUCAGUAGAGGUAUCGCGAUAGUUGCUUGUAGCUAGAAAGGCUACCUUUUAAGAUGUGAUUAGAACAUGAAGGAAGGUAUAGCCUGUUCUGGAAGACUCUAAAAGACCUAAGUCUAAGUGUUGCAACAUACGAUGAUAGGUCAUUAGAAUAUGACACAUCGAUCCAUGAUAGUAAUAAAAGAACUUAUCUUAAAUUCGUAUCCAGUAAAGAUCGAGAUCAUGACUGAAAGUCUAACGUGAGAUAGAGAGCGGGUCCAAGAUCGGGCACCGCCUGUGGUCAGGAGUCUUAGAGUUAGAUACUCGUUUGAAGAAACAUCAAAGUUACGGUAAUUACUUAGGAUAAACAGAUAGCGUAUGAAGUCAUCAUGCGAGCCCUGUUUCGUUGAUGAUUCCGGGACAUAAUCAUCCUAAGGGGGAGAUAAUUGUAACGCCCGUAGAUCCGGGCUAGUCAAUUUAGUGGUAAUAGGGGUCGAAAAUGACUUUUCGACAAAAGAUUAUUUAGAAUAAAUAAUAUUAACCAAGUUGUAGAAUACGUCACAAGGUUUCCGUACAUAUAAAGAGCAUCGAAAUCCGAGUUAUAACGAAGAAGUUAUGACCCGUCGAAGUUUCGCG